GGAGUUACUAGUAAUCGCAGAUCAGAAUGCUGCGGUGAAUGCGUUCCCGGGUCUUGUACACACCGCCCGUCACACCAUGGAAGUUGGGGGCGCCCGAAGCCGGUUAGCUAACCUUUUAGGAAGCGGCCGUCGAAGGUGAAACCAAUGACUGGGGUGAAGUCGUAACAAGGUAGCCGUAUCGGAAGGUGCGGCUGGAUCACCUCCUUU
RNAcentral lists this ribosomal RNA (207 nucleotides) under Paraclostridium bifermentans. RNAcentral's name for it is "partial 16S ribosomal RNA". It matches the Rfam family "Bacterial small subunit ribosomal RNA", at positions 1328 to 1533 of the family's 1533-position model. The record is from RNAcentral. Lineage: Bacteria; Bacillati; Bacillota; Clostridia; Peptostreptococcales; Peptostreptococcaceae.